This 74-nucleotide transfer RNA is filed under the name Desulfoplanes formicivorans. It matches the Rfam family "tRNA". Rfam says of the family: Transfer RNA (tRNA) molecules are approximately 80 nucleotides in length. Their secondary structure includes four short double-helical elements and three loops (D, anti-codon, and T loops). The record is from Rfam by way of RNAcentral. Lineage: Bacteria; Pseudomonadati; Thermodesulfobacteriota; Desulfovibrionia; Desulfovibrionales; Desulfoplanaceae.
GCGCCCGUAGCUCAGCUGGAUAGAGCAACGGCCUUCUAAGCCGUUGGCCGCACGUUCGAAUCGUGCCGGGCGCG